RNAcentral lists this ribosomal RNA (253 nucleotides) under uncultured bacterium. RNAcentral's name for it is "partial 16S ribosomal RNA". It matches the Rfam family "Bacterial small subunit ribosomal RNA", at positions 524 to 776 of the family's 1533-position model. The record is from RNAcentral.
UACGUAGGCAGCGAGCGUUGUUCGGAGUUACUGGGCGUAAAGGGUGUGUAGGCGGUUUUCUAAGUUUGGUGUGAAAUCUCCCGGCUCAACCGGGAGGGUGCGCCGAAAACUGGGAGACUAGAGUGCGGGAUGGGAGAGUAGAAUUCCUGGUGUAGCGGUGAAAUGCGUAGAUAUCAGGAGGAAUACCGGUGGUGAAGACGGCUCUCGGGACCGCCACUGACGCUGAGACACGAAAGCGUGGGUAGCAAACAGG